Molecule: transfer RNA, 65 nt
Filed under: Clavatula tripartita
Lineage: Eukaryota; Metazoa; Mollusca; Gastropoda; Neogastropoda; Clavatulidae
Description: tRNA-His
Rfam family: tRNA
About the family: Transfer RNA (tRNA) molecules are approximately 80 nucleotides in length. Their secondary structure includes four short double-helical elements and three loops (D, anti-codon, and T loops).
Source: RNAcentral
GUCAAGUUAGUUUAAAUAAAAUAUCAGCCUGUGGAUUUGAAGAUAAAAUUUGUUUUUACUUGACC